GCCUCCGUGGUGGAAUUGGUAGACACGAUAGACUCAAAAUCUAUUGCCAAAAGCAUGCCGGUUCGAGUCCGGCUGGAGGUACCA
This 84-nucleotide transfer RNA is filed under the name Rickettsiales bacterium. RNAcentral describes it as "tRNA-Leu". It matches the Rfam family "tRNA". Rfam says of the family: Transfer RNA (tRNA) molecules are approximately 80 nucleotides in length. The record is from RNAcentral. Lineage: Bacteria; Pseudomonadati; Pseudomonadota; Alphaproteobacteria; Rickettsiales.